GCACUGGAUCGACCUGCCCUGUCGGCGGA
Molecule: small RNA, 29 nt
Filed under: Bombyx mori (domestic silkworm)
Lineage: Eukaryota; Metazoa; Arthropoda; Insecta; Lepidoptera; Bombycidae
Description: ovarian small RNA-16436
Source: RNAcentral